GGUUACAUUUCUCCAGCUGCACGCAAGACUGGCCCAGGUCAAGCCCCAUAUGGAUUGGUACAGCCCCAGUACGGACUCCAGGGAGGCUACAGCUGCCCUUCUGGGAAGUGCUCCUACCCCGGCGCCGGGAAGAAGUGAGAGGGGUGAUGGGAUCCGCGGAGUGAGCGAGAAAGGCUGCGAGAUACCCUGCACCCCUUCGCCGUCUCCUGCCGGCAUCGUGACUUUGUGCUCACCUCGCUCCCCAGCUCCGUGUUAGGUAGACGUGUGUGUAAUCUUGCUUAAGCGCAAUGCUUUCUUGCUCUGGAGA
Molecule: long non-coding RNA, 307 nt
Organism: Hypanus sabinus (Atlantic stingray)
Lineage: Eukaryota; Metazoa; Chordata; Chondrichthyes; Myliobatiformes; Dasyatidae
Exons: 3
Source: RefSeq, a predicted model, not a curated record